Molecule: ribosomal RNA, 442 nt
Filed under: uncultured bacterium
Lineage: Bacteria
Description: partial 16S ribosomal RNA
Rfam family: Bacterial small subunit ribosomal RNA
Source: RNAcentral
CCUACGGGAGGCAGCAGUGGGGAAUAUUGGGCAAUGGGCGCAAGCCUGACCCAGCAACGCCGCGUGAAGGAAGAAGGCUUUCGGGUUGUAAACUUCUUUUGACAGGGAAGAGCAGAAGACGGUACCUGUCGAAUAAGCCACGGCUAACUACGUGCCAGCAGCCGCGGUAAUACGUAGGUGGCAAGCGUUGUCCGGAUUUACUGGGGGUAAAGGGCGUGUAGCCGGGCUGACAAGUCAGAUGUGAAAUCCGGGGGCUCAACCCCCGAACUGCAUUUGAAACUGGUGGUCGUGAGUAUCGGAGAGGCAGGCGGAAUUCGUAGUGUAGCGGUGAAAUGCGUAGAUAUCAGGAGGAACACCGGUGGCGAAGGCGGCCUGCUGGACUGCAACUGACGUUGAGGCCCGAAAGCGUGGGGAGCAAACAGGAUUAGAUACCCGAGUAGUC